UUUUUCUUUUAAACACAUCCCAACCCAAAGUAUAAGCGCCCACCUAGUCCUAUCUAGUCCAAAAAAUGCGAACUAGAACUACAUGAGACACUAUCUCUAUCGUUACGAACCUAACACUUUCUACCAAGCUUAAUCGGAAUAAGACCUCACAAACACUCACAAGUGAUAUAGGGCUUGAAAGAAAGUCUAGGUUUGGGUUUGGGUUAACUGCUCUAAUAAGGAGAGUCAGCUACUUGGAUUAACUAGAGUGAUCAAAAUGAAUAAGAAAAUCCAAGUAUUUUAGGGUAUCCAUGAGUUCAAAUUUGAUGCAGACAUGAUAAUUAAAGAUCAGAUUCAGGUUCAAAUUGAUAGGGAAUGGUAUCAGAUCAUGACAGUGUGGUCGAGUAGAGCAAUCUAGGCAUGGUUCAGUUUUAUUUCAAAUUC
RNAcentral lists this small RNA (423 nucleotides) under Arabidopsis thaliana (thale cress). RNAcentral's name for it is "ATSL202490". Lineage: Eukaryota; Viridiplantae; Streptophyta; Magnoliopsida; Brassicales; Brassicaceae. The record is from RNAcentral.